GCAGACACAUUCCAGCCAAUCAGCAGCAGACCCUCCCUCCCAGACCCUCCCACCUCCUGGACAGCAUCCAUUUUGAAGCUGCAUUCUUAGUGAGCUGUCCAGGAGGUGGGAGGGUCUGGGAGAGAGGGUCUGCUGCUGAUUGGCUGGAAUGUGUCUG
RNAcentral lists this microRNA precursor (157 nucleotides) under Pelobates cultripes (western spadefoot toad). The record is from RNAcentral. Lineage: Eukaryota; Metazoa; Chordata; Amphibia; Anura; Pelobatidae.